Molecule: ribosomal RNA, 419 nt
Filed under: uncultured eukaryote
Lineage: Eukaryota
Description: bacterial SSU rRNA
Rfam family: Eukaryotic small subunit ribosomal RNA
Source: RNAcentral
CAAUAGCGUAUAUUAAAGUUGUUGCGGUUAAAAAGCUCGUAGUUGGAUUUCUGCUGAGGACGACCGGUCCGCCCUCUGGGUGUGUAUCUGGCUCGGCCUGGGCAUCUUCUUGGAGAACGUAGCUGCACUUGACUGUGUGGUGCGGUAUCCAGGACUUUUACUUUGAGGAAAUUAGAGUGUUUCAGGCAGGCAAUUGCCCGAAUAUCUUAGCAUGGAAUAAUGGAAUAGGACUUUGGUUCAUUUUAUUGGUUAUUGAAUCAGAGUAAUGAUUAAUAGGGACAGUUGGGGGCAUUAGUAUUUAAUUGUCAGAGGUGAAAUUCUUGGAUUUAUUAAAGACUAACUUAUGCGAAAGCAUUUGCCAAGGAUGUUUUCAUUAAUCAAGAACGAAAGUUAGGGGAUCAAAGAUGAUCAGAUACCAU